Cyprinus carpio (common carp) is the source of this 1407-nucleotide long non-coding RNA. Lineage: Eukaryota; Metazoa; Chordata; Actinopteri; Cypriniformes; Cyprinidae. The record is from Ensembl.
AUGUUAUGUGAACAAAUGAAACACAGCUCACUGCCAAACAUCAUGGUUCAGCAAAACUCAGCCUUUGAUAGAGACGCUUCUCCUCCACCGAGCGUCCAGGAGGAGAAACCCAGAGUUAGUUUUGCUGGCAGAUAUUUGUCGUGCGAGACCAAACGUGACCAGAAGAUGAGCAUUGGUUCUUUUUGUUCUGUCCGUCUGUCUUUCAUCUGUACAUCUGUCCCUCAUCUGUCCGUCUGUCCCUCAUCUGUUCGUCUGUCCCUCAUCUGUCCACCUGUCCCUCUGUCCUUCAUCUGUUCGUCUGUCCUUCAUUCUGUCUAUCCUUUGUCUGUCCUUCAUUUUUCUCUCUGUCCUUCAUCUGUCUGUCUAUUUUCAUCUGUUCGUCUGUCCCUUAUCUGUCCGUCUGUUCUUCAUCUGUCUGUCUGUCCUUCAAUUAGCCGUCUGUUUUCAUCUGUUCGUCUGUCCCUCAUCUGUCCGUUUCUUCGUCAUCUGUGCAUCUGUCCCUCAUCUGUCCGUCUGUCCUUCAUCUGUCCUCAUCUGUCCAUCAUCUGUCUGUCUGUCCUUCAUCUGUCCAUCUGUCCUUCAUCCGUCUGUCCAUCCUUCAUCUGUCCGUUUGUCCUUCAUCUGCCUCUCAUCUAUCCAUCUGUCGCUAAUCUGUCCUUCAUCUGUCCAUCUGUUCCUCAUCUGUGCAUCUGUCCCUCAUCUGUCCGUCUGUCCUUCAUCUGUCCUCAUCUGUCCAUCAUCUGUCUGUCUGUCCUUCAUCUGUCCAUCUGUCCUUCAUCCGUCUGUCCAUCCUUCAUCUGUCCGUUUGUCCUUCAUCUGCCUCUCAUCUAUCCAUCUGUCCCUAAUCUGUCCGUCUGUCCUUCAUUCUGUCCAUCCUUCGUCUAUCUGUCCUUCAUCUGUCCAUCUGUUUUCAUCUGUUCAUCUGUCCCUCAUCUGUCCAUCUGUCCUUCAUCUGUCUGUCCUUCAACUAGCUGUCUGUUUCAUCUGUUCAUCUGUCCUUCAUCUGUCCAUCUGUUUCCAUCUGUCCUUUCUCUUUCUAACUGUCCCUCACCUGUCCAUCUGUCCUUCAUCUGUCUUUCCGUCCUUCAUUGGUCCCUCUGUCCUUCAUCCAUUUGUCCUUCAUCUGUUUGUUUGUCCUUCAUCUGUCUGUCUGUCCAUCCGUCUGUCCCUCAUCUGUCCAUUUGUCCCUCAUCUGUCCGUCAUCUGUCCGUCUGUCCUUCAUCUGUCCCUCAUCUGUCCGUCUGUCCUUUCAUCUGUCCGUCUGUCCUUCAUCUGUAUAUCCGUCCUUCAUCUGUCUGUCUGUCCCUCAUCUGUCCGUCAGGCUCUCAUCUCUUGGUCUGUCCUUCAUCUGAACUGCUGAUUAAAGCCCUGAGAUGGGAGCAGGUCUUCAUGAUUGUGCUGAUGUGA